AUUGAACGCUGGCGGUAUGCUUAACACAUGCAAGUCGAACGGCAGCACGGUCUAGCUUGCUAGACUGAUGGCGAGUGGCGGACGGGUGAGUAACGCGUAGGAAUAUGCCUUGAAGAGUGGGACAACUUGGGGUAACUCAAGCUAAUACCGCAUGUACUCGAGAGAGUAAAGCUGGGGACCUUUAGGCCUGGCGCUUUAAGAUUAGCCUGCGUCCGAUUAGCUAGUUGGUAGGGUAAAGGCCUACCAAGGCGACGAUCGGUAGCUGGUCUGAGAGGAUGAUCAGCCACACUGGAACUGAGAGACGGUCCAGACUCCUACGGGAGGCAGCAGUGGGGAAUAUUGGACAAUGGGGGGAACCCUGAUCCAGCAAUGCCGCGUGUGUGAAGAAGGCCUGAGGGUUGUAAAGCACUUUCAGUGGGGAGGAGGUUUGGAAGGUCAAGAGCUAUUCAAAUGGACGUUACCCACAGAAGAAGCACCGGCUAACUCCGUGCCAGCCGCCGCAGUAA
This 506-nucleotide ribosomal RNA is filed under the name uncultured bacterium. Its description in RNAcentral is "partial 16S ribosomal RNA". It matches the Rfam family "Bacterial small subunit ribosomal RNA", at positions 30 to 523 of the family's 1533-position model. The record is from RNAcentral.